GAUAAAUCUCUUAUUUUCUUACAAUUUUAGGUAACUGGAAGGGAGACGCUAAAGGAUCGUGCGUCAAAGCCUGUCAGAGUCGCAGAAAGUGAUGUUGAUGUUAAACUAAGCACUCUAUGUGAGCAGGACCGAAUUCUUCAAGACUUAGAAGACAAAAUAAGAGCCCUCAAGGACAAUAAAGACAAGUUAGAAACAGUUCUAGAGGUUUUGCACAGACAAAUGGAUCAAUACAAAGACCAGCCACAACACACAGAAAAGAUUUCCUACCAGCAACGUCUGCUACAAGAAGACUUGGUCCAAAUUCGAGCUGAAAUGUCCAAAGUAUCGACUGAUAUGGAAAACUCUUGGAAUGAGUAUAUGAGACUGGAAAAUGACGUCAGCCGUCUAAGGCAAAUGCUACAGGAUCAAAUGAAUAGAACGAUAUCAUCUCAGGUAAUGG
This is a long non-coding RNA of Bombina bombina (fire-bellied toad), 439 nucleotides long. RefSeq lists it as uncharacterized. Lineage: Eukaryota; Metazoa; Chordata; Amphibia; Anura; Bombinatoridae. The transcript is spliced from 4 exons. The record is from RefSeq and is a predicted model, not a curated record.